AUUCUCAUAGUGUAGUAGUUAUCACGUUCCCUUCACACGGGAAAGGUCGCGAGUGCAAAUCUCGCUGGGAAUA
This is a transfer RNA of 73 nucleotides. It matches the Rfam family "tRNA". Rfam says of the family: Transfer RNA (tRNA) molecules are approximately 80 nucleotides in length. Their secondary structure includes four short double-helical elements and three loops (D, anti-codon, and T loops). The record is from Rfam.